RNAcentral lists this ribosomal RNA (384 nucleotides) under Acanthamoeba hatchetti. Its description in RNAcentral is "SSU rRNA". It matches the Rfam family "Eukaryotic small subunit ribosomal RNA", at positions 776 to 1080 of the family's 1831-position model. Lineage: Eukaryota; Discosea; Longamoebia; Acanthamoebidae. The record is from RNAcentral.
GUCAGCAGGCAGAUCCAUUUUCUGCCACCGAAUACAUUAGCAUGGGAUAAUGGAAUAGGACCCUGUCCUCCUAUUUUCAGUUGGUUUUGGCACGCGAGGACCAGGGUAAUGAUUAAUAGGGAUAGUUGGGGGCAUUAAUAUUUAAUUGUCAGAGGUGAAAUUCUUGGAUUUAUGAAAGAUUAACUUCUGCGAAAGCAUCUGCCAAGGAUGUUUUCAUUAAUCAAGAACGAAAGUUAGGGGAUCGAAGACGAUCAGAUACCGUCGUAGUCUUAACCAUAAACGAUGCCGACCAGCGAUUAGGAGACGUUGAAUACAAAACACCACCAUCGGUGCGGUCGUCCUUGGCGCGUCGUGGCUUGCUGCGGCGUGCGAGGGCGAUUAGCC